Molecule: ribosomal RNA, 200 nt
Filed under: uncultured bacterium
Lineage: Bacteria
Description: partial 16S ribosomal RNA
Rfam family: Bacterial small subunit ribosomal RNA
Source: RNAcentral
UACGGAGGGUGCAAGCGUUGUCCGGAUUUAUUGGGUUUAAAGGGUGCGUAGGUGGUUUUUUAAGUCUGGUUUGAAAGCUGGUCGCUUAACGAUCAGAUGUGGCUGGAAACUGAGGAACUUGAAUGAUUUGGCGGUAGCCGGAAUGGGUCAUGUAGCGGUGAAAUGCAUAGAUAUGACCCGGAACACCGAUUGCGAAGGCA